UGGGGAAUAUUGGACAAUGGGCGAAAGCCUGAUCCAGCCAUGCCGCGUGAGUGAUGAAGGCCUUAGGGUUGUAAUGCUCUUUUUGGCGGGGACGAUAAUGACGGUACCCGCAGAAUAAGCCCCGGCUAACUUCGUGCCAGCAGCCGCGGUAAUACGAAGGGGGCUAGCGUUGUUCGGAAUUACUGGGCGUAAAGCGCACGUAGGCGGAUCAGCAAGUCAGGGGUGAAAUCCCGGGGCUCAACCUCGGAACUGCCUCUGAUACUGCUAGUCUAGAGUCCGGAAGAGGUGGGUGGAAUUCCUAGUGUAGAGGUGAAAUUCGCAGAUAUUAGGAAGAACACCGGUGGCGAAGGCGGCCCACUGGUCCGGUACUGACGCUGAGGUGCGAAAGCGUGGGGAGCAAACAGGAUUAGAUACCCGUGUAGUCCCUGAGCGGGCUGGCAAGGCGCAU
This 448-nucleotide ribosomal RNA is filed under the name uncultured bacterium. Its description in RNAcentral is "bacterial SSU rRNA". It matches the Rfam family "Bacterial small subunit ribosomal RNA", at positions 355 to 825 of the family's 1533-position model. The record is from RNAcentral.